ACGGAUAACAUACCGAAAGGUAUGCUAAUACGGGAUAAUAUAUUUGAGAGGCAUCUCUUAAAUAUCAAAGGUGAGCCAGUACAGGAUGGACCCGCGUCUGAUUAGCUAGUUGGUAAGGUAACGGCUUACCAAGGCGACGAUCAGUAGCCGACCUGAGAGGGUGAUCGGCCACAUUGGAACUGAGACACGGUCCAAACUCCUACGGGAGGCAGCAGUGGGGAAUAUUGCACAAUGGGCGAAAGCCUGAUGCAGCAACGCCGCGUGAGUGAUGAAGGCCUUCGGGUCGUAAAACUCUGUCCUCAAGGAAGAUAAUGACGGUACUUGAGGAGGAAGCCCCGGCUAACUACGUGCCAGCAGCCGCGGUAAUACGUAGGGGGCUAGCGUUAUCCGGAUUUACUGGGCGUAAAGGGUGCGUAGGCGGUCUUUCAAGUCAGGAGUGAAAGGCUACGGCUCAACCGUAGUAAGCUCUUGAAACUGGGAGACUUGAGUGCAGGAGAGGAGAGUGGAAUUCCUAGUGUAGCGGUGAAAUGCGUAGAUAUUAGGAGGAACACCAGUUGCGAAGGCGGCUCUCAGGACUGUAACUGACGCUGAGGCACAAAAGCGUGGGGAGCAAACAGGAUUAGAUACCCUGGUAGUCCACGCUGUAAACGAUAAUAAGAGGUGUCGGGGGUUACCCCCUUCGGUGCCGCAG
This 691-nucleotide ribosomal RNA is filed under the name uncultured bacterium. RNAcentral describes it as "bacterial SSU rRNA". It matches the Rfam family "Bacterial small subunit ribosomal RNA", at positions 139 to 851 of the family's 1533-position model. The record is from RNAcentral.